Long non-coding RNA from Panicum hallii, 329 nucleotides. RefSeq lists it as uncharacterized. The transcript has 3 exons. The record is from RefSeq and is a predicted model, not a curated record. Lineage: Eukaryota; Viridiplantae; Streptophyta; Magnoliopsida; Poales; Poaceae.
UGAAGGCUAAAAACAUUGAACCAUGCACCCUUGUAAUGGACUUGGAAGGAACUGAUGGAAGAGAGAGGGGAGAGCAGGAUGAGAGCCUGGGGAUUGGGUUGAAUGCAAUUGUGAAAAACAUCAAAGGGGAACUUGACUAGCGUGCUACACCAGAGGUGGUUUACCUUCUUGAAAAAAGCCACAGCUGACAGCGAUCAUUGACUCCACGAGCAGCCAUAGCCUGGGGAAUUUUUACUGGUUUAUCUGGUGCCAUGUCUCGAAGUGCACUUACCAUUUUGUAGGUGUGAAUUGUUCAUUGUUGGUCCUCAACAUUGGUGUUAAUCUGAGCA